RNAcentral lists this ribosomal RNA (429 nucleotides) under uncultured Spirochaetaceae bacterium. RNAcentral describes it as "bacterial SSU rRNA". It matches the Rfam family "Bacterial small subunit ribosomal RNA", at positions 355 to 776 of the family's 1533-position model. Lineage: Bacteria; Pseudomonadati; Spirochaetota; Spirochaetia; Spirochaetales; Spirochaetaceae. The record is from RNAcentral.
CUAAGAAUCUUCCGCAAUGGGGGAAACCCUGACGGAGCGACGCCGCGUGGAUGAUGAAGGCCGAAAGGUUGUAAAAUCCUUUUCUCUGCGAAGAAUAAGUUGGGGAGGAAAUGCCCUGAUGAUGACGUUAGCAGAGGAAGAAGCCCCGGCUAAUUACGUGCCAGCAGCCGCGGUAAUACGUAAGGGGCGAGCGUUGUUCGGAAUUAUUGGGCGUAAAGGGCGCGCAGGCGGUCUGGUAAGUCUGGUGUUUAAGUCCGCAGCUUAACUGCGGUGAGGCGCUGGAAACUGCCGGGCUUGAGUUCAGGAGGGGGAGCUGGAAUUCCAGGUGUAGGGGUGAAAUCUGUAGAGAUCUGGAAGAACACCGGUGGCGAAGGCGAGCUCCUGGCCAUGGACUGACGCUGAGGCGCGAAAGCGUGGGGAGCAAACAGG